Molecule: ribosomal RNA, 1477 nt
Filed under: uncultured bacterium
Lineage: Bacteria
Description: 16S ribosomal RNA
Rfam family: Bacterial small subunit ribosomal RNA
Source: RNAcentral
GACGAACGCUGGCGGCGUGCUUAACACAUGCAAGUCGAACGGAAAGGCCCUGCUUUUGUGGGGUGCUCGAGUGGCGAACGGGUGAGUAACACGUGAGUAACCUGCCCUUGACUUUGGGAUAACUUCAGGAAACUGGGGCUAAUACCGGAUAGGAGCUCCUGCUGCAUGGUGGGGGUUGGAAAGUUUCGGCGGUUGGGGAUGGACUCGCGGCUUAUCAGCUUGUUGGUGGGGUAGUGGCUUACCAAGGCCUUGACGGGUAGCCGGCCUGAGAGGGUGACCGGCCACAUUGGGACUGAGAUACGGCCCAGACUCCUACGGGAGGCAGCAGUGGGGAAUAUUGCACAAUGGGCGGAAGCCUGAUGCAGCAACGCCGCGUGCGGGAUGACGGCCUUCGGGUUGUAAACCGCUUUCGCCUGUGACGAAGCGUGAGUGACGGUAAUGGGUAAAGAAGCACCGGCUAACUACGUGCCAGCAGUCGCGGUGAUACGUAGGGUGCGAGCGUUGUCCGGAUUUAUUGGGCGUAAAGGGCUCGUAGGUGGUUGAUCGCGUCGGAAGUGUAAUCUUGGGGCUUAACCCUGAGCGUGCUUUCGAUACGGGUUGACUUGAGGAAGGUAGGGGAGAAUGGAAUUCCUGGUGGAGCGGUGGAAUGCGCAGAUAUCAGGAGGAACACCAGUGGCGAAGGCGGUUCUCUGGGCCUUUCCUGACGCUGAGGAGCGAAAGCGUGGGGAGCGAACAGGCUUAGAUACCCUGGUAGUCCACGCUGUAAACGGUGGGUACUAGGUGUGGGGUCCAUUCCACGGGUUCCGUGCCGUAGCUAACGCUUUAAGUACCCCGCCUGGGGAGUACGGCCGCAAGGCUAAAACUCAAAGGAAUUGACGGGGCCCCGCACAAGCGGCGGAGCAUGCGGAUUAAUUCGAUGCAACGCGUAGAACCUUACCUGGGUUUGACAUGGAUCGGGAGUGCUCAGAGAUGGGUGUGCCUCUUUUGGGGUCGGUUCACAGGUGGUGCAUGGCUGUCGUCAGCUCGUGUCGUGAGAUGUUGGGUUAAGUCCCGCAACGAGCGCAACCCUUGUUCACUGUUGCCAGCACGUUAUGGUGGGGACUCAGUGGAGACCGCCGGGGUCAACUCGGAGGAAGGUGGGGAUGACGUCAAGUCAUCAUGCCCCUUAUGUCCAGGGCUUCACGCAUGCUACAAUGGCUGGUACAGAGAGUGGCGAGCCUGUGAGGGUGAGCGAAUCUCGGAAAGCCGGUCUCAGUUCGGAUUGGGGUCUGCAACUCGACCUCAUGAAGUCGGAGUCGCUAGUAAUCGCAGAUCAGCAACGCUGCGGUGAAUACGUUCCCGGGGCUUGUACACACCGCCCGUCAAGUCAUGAAAGUUGGUAACACCCGAAGCCGGUGGCCUAACCGUUGUGGGGGAGCCGUCGAAGGUGGGACUGGUGAUUAGGGCUAAGUCGUAACAAGGUAACCGUACCGGAAGG